This 253-nucleotide unclassified non-coding RNA is filed under the name uncultured Flavobacteriaceae bacterium. RNAcentral describes it as "contains 16S-23S intergenic spacer region". It matches the Rfam family "Bacterial small subunit ribosomal RNA", at positions 524 to 776 of the family's 1533-position model. Lineage: Bacteria; Pseudomonadati; Bacteroidota; Flavobacteriia; Flavobacteriales; Flavobacteriaceae. The record is from RNAcentral.
UACGGAGGAUCCAAGCGUUACCCGGAAUCAUAGGGUUUAAAGGGUCCGUAGGCGGGUUGAUCAGUCAGUGGUGAAAGUCUGCAGCUUAACAGUAGAAUUGCCAUUGAUACUGUUGACAGUGAGUAAUUAUGAAGUGGUUAGAAUAUGUAGUGUAGCGGUGAAAUGCAUAGAUAUCGUAAAGAACACCUAUAGCGAAGGCAGCUUGCUAAACUAUAACUGACGCUGAGGCACGAAAGCAUGGGUAGCGAACAGG